Molecule: ribosomal RNA, 424 nt
Filed under: uncultured prokaryote
Description: bacterial SSU rRNA
Rfam family: Bacterial small subunit ribosomal RNA
Source: RNAcentral
UGAGGAAUAUUGGUCAAUGGACGCAAGUCUGAACCAGCCACGUCGCGUGAAGGAUGACGGCCCUACGGGUUGUAAACUUCUUUUAUACAGGAAUAAAGUGAGUCACGUGUGACUUUUUGCAUGUACUGUAUGAAUAAGGAUCGGCUAACUCCGUGCCAGCAGCCGCGGUAAUACGGAGGAUCCAAGCGUUAUCCGGAUUUAUUGGGUUUAAAGGGUGCGCAGGCGGAAGAUUAAGUCGGCGGUGAAAUUUUGCAGCUCAACUGUAAAAGUGCAAUCGAUACUGGUUUUCUGGAGUGUGGAUGAAGUAGGCGGAAUUUGUGGUGUAGCGGUGAAAUGCAUAGAUAUCACACAGAAUAUCGAUUGCGAAGGCAGCUCACAAAGCCAAGAUUGACGCUGAGGCACGAAAGUGUGGGGAUCAAACAGG